AGAGGUUUGAUCCUGGCUCAGAACGAACGCUGGCGGCAGGCUUAACACAUGCAAGUCGAACGUGAAGCAGGAGCUUGCUCCUGUGGAAAGUGGCAGACGGGUGAGUAACGCGUGGGAAUUUACCCAGUGGUUCGGAAUAACUUCAGGAAACCGGAGCUAAUACCGAAUACGCCCUUCGGGGGAAAGAUUUAUCGCCAUUGGAUGAGCCCGCGUCGGAUUAGCUUGUUGGUGAGGUAAAAGCUCACCAAGGCGACGAUCCGUAGCUGGUCUGAGAGGAUGAUCAGCCACACUGGGACUGAGACACGGCCCAGACUCCUACGGGAGGCAGCAGUGGGGAAUAUUGCGCAAUGGAGGAAACUCUGACGCAGCCAUGCCGCGUGAGUGAAGAAGGCCUUAGGGUUGUAAAACUCUUUCGCUAGGGAAGAUAAUGACGGUACCUAGUAAAGAAGCCCCGGCCAACUCCGUGCCAGCAGCCGCGGUAAUACGGAGGGGGCUAGCGUUGUUCGGAAUUACUGGGCGUAAAGCGCGCGUAGGCGGGCUGGUUAGUUGGGGGUGAAAUCCCGAGGCUCAACCUCGGAACUGCCCUCAAUACUGCCAGUCUUGAGUUCGAGAGAGGUAAGUGGAAUUCCUAGUGUAGAGGUGAAAUUCGUAGAUAUUAGGAAGAACACCAGUGGCGAAGGCGGCUUACUGGCUCGAUAC
RNAcentral lists this ribosomal RNA (699 nucleotides) under uncultured bacterium. RNAcentral's name for it is "bacterial SSU rRNA". It matches the Rfam family "Bacterial small subunit ribosomal RNA", at positions 1 to 740 of the family's 1533-position model. The record is from RNAcentral.